UCAUAUUUUAGAGGUGAGGCUGUUGGUCUGGUUUUGUUUUUCUUUUAUUUUUUCCUUGCUCUCAUGCUAUUCACUAGUCUCAUUAAUAACAUAGCUGAUAGAAUAGGAAGUAUUAGUUAAUGAAGUCAAGAGAUUAUGCUCAGUGUAGAAAGUUGUAAUUGUUUGGAGAUUCAAGCAAAAGUAGUCAGUAAAUAGUAUUAAAUUAUUCUCUCUAUCUAUCUGGCUCUAGAAAAGUCAGAGGUUGUGUAGCCUGGAAGUGUUUUUUUUGACUGUGGGGGCUGCACCUUCACCCCUAUCUUGAAGUGUAGAAUAAGAUAUUGGUGGGUUUUUUACAAAAUAUGGCUUGUGGGAGUGUGCAUCUGAGAGUACCUGAGUUUUAGGUCUUGAAAUGCAUAUUAUGUAACAACUACUUUUCUUCGCUUGCACAGUAACAUCCACUGGAGGUGGGAGUAGAAUCUGUUUCCAUAAAGUAUUUGCAUUUGAAUAUUUAGUCUGACUCUUCCCCCUCUUCCAUCAAUAAACCCACAACUUUUAAGCUUGACACAGAUUUUCUAGGAAGAUACAGAACUGUUGCUGGAAAUAGUGGUAUAAACUGUUAUCUGGGAUGAUUUAUAGCUGAUAAAUCUUACCACUGGGAAGAUGAAGGUAUAGAUGGGGUUGGGUCAUUAGCAAGUGUACCUAAAUAUUGUACUUCUCUUGGGGGGGGAUCUGAUGAUGUCAGCAUUCCCUACCUGUGUUGUAUGGAUGUGGUCAUUAGCAGCCCUUUUCCACCCUGAGAGGGAGAGCGGAGCAAUGGGAGAUAUCUCGUUGCAAAAAUCCAUGCAGUAUAAGAACAUGAGCACUUGUAUCUGCAUAUUCUUAAGUAUAGUUCUGAAGCUGGAUUUCAUCUGAACAAAUUGAUGCUGGAAUAAUCCCGAACUGAGUAGGAAGCAUUAAAAAUACUACUUUCUAAUGAUGUUCAAGUGCUUUUUGCCAAUAAUUGUAUUUAAAAGGAACUUUCUGCUCUCAAGAUGUAAGUGGUUGUGCAAUUUGUUACGUGCAAUUUAGUACACAUCACUGAAAACAUUGAUUCAGUACAGACAGAAAUUUACAGAGAUAAAGUCAAUAAAUAUUUUGUACUACUUGUAGUUGUGAAAUGCAUUGCUUAUAAUUGCUAAAAUCGAAGAAGGUGGAUGAGAAAAGAA
Pezoporus occidentalis (night parrot) is the source of this 1184-nucleotide long non-coding RNA. RefSeq lists it as uncharacterized. Lineage: Eukaryota; Metazoa; Chordata; Aves; Psittaciformes; Psittacidae. The record is from RefSeq and is a predicted model, not a curated record. The transcript is spliced from 2 exons.